This 942-nucleotide long non-coding RNA is filed under the name Olea europaea subsp. europaea. Lineage: Eukaryota; Viridiplantae; Streptophyta; Magnoliopsida; Lamiales; Oleaceae. The record is from RNAcentral.
GAAUAUGUCUUUUUUUUUUUUGAGCAAGUCUCCCAAAUCUUCUUAAAAUGUCAUUUAUCUUAGUUUGAUAUAUAACUGUUUCAUCACAUAUUAAUACGUAGUUGUAUAUAUGUGGUCAAAACUUCGUAAAACGAUAUAUUUAUUCUUUAAAUGGACAGACAAUAUUUAAGGCCAAGCCCAGGUUUGAGCCCAAUUCGAUUGCCCAUAUCAGCUUUACACAAUUGGGUGUUCUUGUGUUUGUGCCAUGUCUCAAAUAAACUAGUGAACUUACAUAAUUUGUUGGAUCGGGUUUGUCCUCUUUUAUGCGUCUUUUUUGUAUUACUAGUGAGGGAACAUACAUUGCACGUGUAGUGGGUAAUGUAGUGUAAGUAAUAAUGUUGGAAUUUGGUCAUGUAGUAUUUUUAUGGAAAAUCAUACCUGGUUAGAAGGAUAAUUGCAUUGUAUUAUAUAAAAUAUGUGUCCACAAGUACUUUCAUUGGUGGUAGUAAUAUGAAGUAAAAACCAAAGUUCUUACAUGCCAUACUUGGAUACAUGGGUUCUUACAUGUUAAUAUGUACAAUGAACAAAAUCUAGUAUGGCAAAUAGAGAUGUUGGGAAUCAGGUUUGGUGGACUGUGGACAUAAACUUGCAAAAGAGAUACAAAAUAUGUAUUUUAAAAUCUUGAACAACUACUCCUAGUUUUGUUUUUUGUUUGCAUGUUUGUAAGCUUCAUGUGUAGACGUUGUCCAGUUUGUUGGGCUAUUUGUUGGUGUAGUGUUUGCAUUUGCAAAUUGAAGAUAUCUUUGUGAGGUGCCUGAUUAUAUGAUGUUCGUAAGUAUGGUCUUUAUCUUGGAUUUGUUAGUCAAUGAUGAAGAUGACUUCAUAUGGUGCUUUGUUGGUUGUUGUCUCUGCAUUUACAGUGUUGAUGUAUAAGAUAUGAUGAUGUGCAGUCAUUGUUUGAAU